AGAAGGGGAGAAAUGAAAAGAAAAAAAAAUUGUUGUCGAUACUGUAUGUUCUUAUCUCUCUCACACACACACGCAUUAACCAUGGUUACUUUUUCACUAUUCUGAAGACAAAUCCAAAACUUGAACACAGGCAGUAAAUUGGGCAAGAAAAAUUAGAAACACAAGACACAAAAAGCUAACAUAUCUUCUUCUGCUCUCCAAAUGAGACGAUAAAUACUUUUUUUUUUGCUUCUGAAUUUUUUUUCUGAUUUACUGUCACAGCACUACAUACUUUAUCCCAACGUGGUUGAGCUCGAGAUACUGCAGCGUCUCUCUUCCUGCUCCUGCUUCGACAUCUCCUCCUCGCACCAUAACUCCUGCAGCACCAUGGAGGUCGGCAGCGUCGGGAGAGUCUCGUUUCUAAUCGAGAACGACAAGACCGAUCAGCCUCCCAAGCCUGCGCGAGAGGAGAGAUCGGAGCAGGUCAUAUUCCUGCGGCGGAGCGCCAGCAGCUGCGUCGAGGUGAAGAAGACCAACGGAUUUUGGAUUGAAAUUGCAAUGACGUAACCUAAUUUUGGCUGUCAAUGACCAUUAUACCCCCGCUUUGUUAUUGUGGAGUAAAUUUGUGAGAGAGAACUAAGAUCUCCUUUAAAUUCUAAAAUUACAUGUAUUAAUA
Molecule: long non-coding RNA, 655 nt
Organism: Salvia splendens (bonfire salvia)
Lineage: Eukaryota; Viridiplantae; Streptophyta; Magnoliopsida; Lamiales; Lamiaceae
Exons: 2
Source: RefSeq, a predicted model, not a curated record